This 497-nucleotide ribosomal RNA is filed under the name uncultured bacterium. RNAcentral's name for it is "partial 16S ribosomal RNA". It matches the Rfam family "Bacterial small subunit ribosomal RNA", at positions 28 to 507 of the family's 1533-position model. The record is from RNAcentral.
GAUGAACGCUGGCGGCGUGCCUAAUACAUGCAAGUCGAGCGAACAGACGAGGAUCUUUCUCCUCUGACGUUAGCGGCGGACGGGUGAGUAACACGUGGCUAACCGACCUAUAAGACUGGGAUAACUUCGGGAAACCGGAGCUAAUACCGGAUAAUAUAUUGAACCGCAUGGUUCAAUAGUGAAAGACGGUUUUGCUGUCACUUAUAGAUGGAUCCGCGCCGCAUUAGCUAGUUGGUAAGGUAACGGCUUACCAAGGCAACGAUGCGUAGCCGACCUGAGAGGGUGAUCAGCCACACUGGAACUGAGACACGGUCCAGACUCCUACGGGAGGCAGCAGUAGGGAAUCUUCCGCAAUGGGCGAAAGCCUGACGGAGCAACGCCGCGUGAGUGAUGAAGGUCUUCGGAUCGUAAAACUCUGUUAUUAGGGAAGAACAAAUGUGUAAGUAACUAUGCACGUCUUGACGGUACCUAAUCAGAAAGCCACGGCUAACUACGUG